Molecule: non-coding RNA, 74 nt
Organism: Aethalodelphis obliquidens (Pacific white-sided dolphin)
Lineage: Eukaryota; Metazoa; Chordata; Mammalia; Artiodactyla; Delphinidae
Source: the annotation of a RefSeq genome assembly
UCCCUGGUGGUCCAGUGGUUAGGACUCUGGGCUCUGAACGCAGGGAGUCACAGGUUCGACCCCUGGUUGGGGAA